This 1369-nucleotide ribosomal RNA is filed under the name uncultured bacterium. RNAcentral describes it as "bacterial SSU rRNA". It matches the Rfam family "Bacterial small subunit ribosomal RNA", at positions 28 to 1381 of the family's 1533-position model. The record is from RNAcentral.
GACGAACGCUGGCGGCGUGCCUAAUACAUGCAAGUAGAACGCUGAAGAGAGGAGCUUGCUCUUCUUGGAUGAGUUGCGAACGGGUGAGUAACGCGUAGGUAACCUGCCUUGUAGCGGGGGAUAACUAUUGGAAACGAUAGCUAAUACCGCAUAACAAUGGAUGACACAUGUCAUUUAUUUGAAAGGGGCAAUUGCUCCACUACAAGAUGGACCUGCGUUGUAUUAGCUAGUAGGUGAGGUAACGGCUCACCUAGGCGACGAUACAUAGCCGACCUGAGAGGGUGAUCGGCCACACUGGGACUGAGACACGGCCCAGACUCCUACGGGAGGCAGCAGUAGGGAAUCUUCGGCAAUGGGGGCAACCCUGACCGAGCAACGCCGCGUGAGUGAAGAAGGUUUUCGGAUCGUAAAGCUCUGUUGUAAGUCAAGAACGAGUGUGAGAGUGGAAAAUUCACACUGUGACGGUAGCUUACCAGAAAGGGACGGCUAACUACGUGCCAGCAGCCGCGGUAAUACGUAGGUCCCGAGCGUUGUCCGGAUUUAUUGGGCGUAAAGCGAGCGCAGGCGGUUUGAUAAGUCUGAAGUUAAAGGCUGUGGCUCAACCAUAGUUCGCUUUGGAAACUGUCAAACUUGAGUGCAGAAGGGGAGAGUGGAAUUCCAUGUGUAGCGGUGAAAUGCGUAGAUAUAUGGAGGAACACCGGUGGCGAAAGCGGCUCUCUGGUCUGUAACUGACGCUGAGGCUCGAAAGCGUGGGGAGCGAACAGGAUUAGAUACCCUGGUAGUCCACGCCGUAAACGAUGAGUGCUAGGUGUUGGAUCCUUUCCGGGAUUCAGUGCCGCAGCUAACGCAUUAAGCACUCCGCCUGGGGAGUACGACCGCAAGGUUGAAACUCAAAGGAAUUGACGGGGGCCCGCACAAGCGGUGGAGCAUGUGGUUUAAUUCGAAGCAACGCGAAGAACCUUACCAGGUCUUGACAUCCCGAUGCUAUUUCUAGAGAUAGAAAGUUACUUCGGUACAUCGGUGACAGGUGGUGCAUGGUUGUCGUCAGCUCGUGUUGUGAGAUGUUGGGUUAAGUCCCGCAACGAGCGCAACCCCUAUUGUUAGUUGCCAUCAUUCAGUUGGGCACUCUAGCGAGACUGCCGGUAAUAAACCGGAGGAAGGUGGGGAUGACGUCAAAUCAUCAUGCCCCUUAUGACCUGGGCUACACACGUGCUACAAUGGUUGGUACAACGAGUUGCGAGUCGGUGACGGCAAGCUAAUCUCUUAAAGCCAAUCUCAGUUCGGAUUGUAGGCUGCAACUCGCCUACAUGAAGUCGGAAUCGCUAGUAAUCGCGGAUCAGCACGCCGCGGUGAAUACGUUCCCGGGCCU